RNAcentral lists this ribosomal RNA (510 nucleotides) under uncultured bacterium. RNAcentral describes it as "partial 16S ribosomal RNA". It matches the Rfam family "Bacterial small subunit ribosomal RNA", at positions 28 to 507 of the family's 1533-position model. The record is from RNAcentral.
GACGAACGCUGGCGGCGUGCUUAACACAUGCAAGUCGAACGAAGAGCGAUGGAAGCUUGCUUCUAUCAAUCUUAGUGGCGAACGGGUGAGUAACGCGUAAUCAACCUGCCCUUCAGAGGGGGACAACAGUUGGAAACGACUGCUAAUACCGCAUACGAUCUAAUCUCGGCAUCGAGGAUAGAUGAAAGGUGGCCUCUACAUGUAAGCUAUCACUGAAGGAGGGGAUUGCGUCUGAUUAGCUAGUUGGAGGGGUAACGGCCCACCAAGGCGAUGAUCAGUAGCCGGUCUGAGAGGAUGAACGGCCACAUUGGGACUGAGACACGGCCCAGACUCCUACGGGAGGCAGCAGUGGGGAAUCUUCCGCAAUGGACGAAAGUCUGACGGAGCAACGCCGCGUGAGUGAUGACGGCCUUCGGGUUGUAAAGCUCUGUUAAUCGGGACGAAAGGCCUUCUCGCGAAUAGUGAGAAGGAUUGACGGUACCGGAAGAGAAAGCCACGGCUAACUACGUG